GAUUUGAUGAAUGAUGGGCCAAAUAAAUUCCAAGCCCAAUUAGAGAAGAGCUUAGUACAGAACCAACCAAAAACUAAUGUCUCUCCUUCCAUCCAAAAAAGAACCAUUAGAAGUAGGGCUGGAAAAAACCCAUAGGGAGAAAAAAAUCCUCUCUACACAAGGCUGGACCUAUUUUGGCUUGAAAGAAUUUCAAGCCUAAAUUAAAGAAUGUUAAGAAAAUGAUGGAGAAGAUCCCUACCUCUUUCGUAAACACGCUGCCCACCACCCAGAACAUCAAAUCAAAUUCAAGAAGUCCUGAACCGGAAGCCUUGGAAGCUGCCAUGUUAGGCAAUCUUCGAGCUAUGCAAAAAAAUCAGAAGAAAUCAUUUGAAACUACAAAGAUGGCAAAGGCUAUUUUUGAAGAUCAUGUGGUGAAGAAUCAAUUUCUUGUCUCUACCUCCAAUCAAAUCGUGAAAAUGGUGGCCACAAAAAUGGUUCAAGGAGGAAAGGACCCUCGAAAUAAACCAUCGGAUGAUCAAUUUGGGGAGCCAAGUGACCAAAGCAUUGCAAAAGAUCAUGUGUCUUGUGAUCACGUUGAAGGUGAUGUGGUAGUUUUGACCACAGUUUGAAGUGGAAGAAAAUUGGUUUUCUACACUAAUUGGAGAUCUGAAGAGAGAGUAUGAUGCAAGUUUUCUUAUUCUACUUAAAAUUCAUAUAAGUGGUAAUAGGGGAGAGGUUGUUAGAGAAAGGAUGGGUUAUGAUGGUUGUUUUAUUGAAGAAGCAAGAGGACAGUUAGGGGGUAUAUGGUGUUUAUAGGAUUAUGAUAGCUGGAAAGUAGAAGUUAUCCAUCACAAUACUCAAUUUGUACAUAUGAAGCUUACUGGAAGUCACUCUGUACCUUGGAUUCUUACUACAGUUUACAGAAGUCCUCAAAGGAUUACUCGGCAUGCUUUUUGGGACUCCAUUCGGUCCCUGAGGGAUGACAUUAAUCUGCCAUGGUGUCUUAUUAGGGAUUUCAAUGCCAUUCUUCAUAGUCAUGAAAGGAAGGGAGGAUCCCCUAACCAAAGGCAUGGAGCUUGUAAUGAGUUCCAAUCUGUUGUGUCCGACUGUAGUUUGUUAGAUUUGGGGUUCACCGGCUGGCCUUAUACCUGGAAGAGGGGUAACUUAGUGGAAAGAAUAGACAGAGCUUUAUGCAACUUGGAUUGGCAAUUGAUGUUUCCUGAAGCCAAGAUCAGACAUCUUCCGAUGAUGAAAUCGGAUCACUCCUUUCUCUGUCUCCAACUUUACACGGCUUCGGCUCCCAACAGAAGGAGAAGACCGUUCAGGUUUAUGGCAGCUUGGUUAACGCAUUCUGACUUUGACAAUAUGCUUAAUAAUAAUUGGAACUUUAGAGAUUCUUGGAAUAAUUGUGUGGAAGAUUUCAAAACCGUCCUGAAUGAUUGGAACCGAAACAUCUUUGAAAACAUUCAGUUCAGAAAAAAUAGGAUCUUCCGAAGGCUUCAGGGGAUUGUGACGAGCUUAAGCCAGAACAGUAAUUGUUUCUUAGAAAAUUUGUAAUUUGACCUAUGGAAAGACUAUGAGGAGAUUCUAACUCAGAAAUAAAUUCUUUGGUUCCAGAAAUCUAGGAGCAAUUGGAUUAAUUUUGGGGAUCGAAACACCAAGUACUUCCACGGUACCACCAUGGCUAGAAGAAGAAGAAACAAUAUUGAGUCUCUCGAAGAUGAUAAUGGGAGUUAGGUCACUGAUAGAAGCAGUUUAGAGGUUAUGGCGACUUCUUUUUAUGCUAAAUUGUUUUUAGAUGAUCUACCUGAUAUCCUUUUUGUCCUUAAUCGAGCUUUUUCCCCCCUUUAAGUGUUGAGAAUCUGACUGUUGUUAGUGGUAAUGUUACUUCCACUGAGAUUAAAGAGUCUAUCUUUAGCAUGGGUAGUUUAAAGGCUCAUGGAAAAGAUGGUAUACAAGUUGUGUUCUAUCAAAAUAAGUGGAAAAAAGUUGGUAAUGACCUAUGCAAAUUAGUGAAAGAUAUUCUUGAGAAUCCACAGAAUGUCAAAGAAAUCAAUGAAAUUCUUAUUACCUUUAUUUCAAAAGUGGAGCCAGUUACACGUCUAAAGCAAAUGCGUCCUAUUAGCCUGUGCAAUGUAUCUUACAAUGUUAUUGCUAAGAUCCUUGCGCACAGGCUUCGGAAAGUCAUGGAGAAACUUGUCAAACUGAUUCAGAGCAGUUUUGUUCUGGGGAGACAUACUUCAAACAAUAUCAUUAUUACUCAAAAGGUUAUUCACUCUAUGAGAAGCAAGAAAGGGAAAAAGGGUUGGAUGGCCAUUAAGAUUGAUUUGGAAAAAGCCUAUGAUAGGCUCAAAUGGUCUUUUGUUAAAGAUAUCCUAGCAGAUAUUGGUUUUUCCUCUACUUUCAUUAAUUUGAUUUGCACUUGUAUCUCUACGGUAAGGAUGAGGGUUCUAUAGAAUGGGAAUGUUCUUGAUGAGUUCACUCCCUCAAGAAAAAUUUGUCAAGGAGAUCUGUUAUCCCCUUAUAUCUUUGUUCUCUGUAUGGAGCGCUUGUCCCAACUCAUUAGUGCUACUGUUGAACAUGGGCAUUAGAAGCCGAUUAAGCUCAGCAGAAAGGGGCCCGACUUGUCUCACCUAUGUUUUGCUGAUGAUCUGAUUUUGUUUGCUGAGGUUGAUAUGGAUUAAGCGGGAGUUUGUAACAGAGUUCUUGAAGCAUUCUAUAAUAGCUCUGGGCAAAAAGUGAGCAACGAGAAGACUUGGGUCUUUUUCUCAAAUGAUGUGGGAAAUAAGUCAAAAGUGAGAUUAGUGAAGCCUUGAAUUUCUCCAAGACUGAUGAUCUCGGUAAAUACCUUGGGGUGCCUCUCAUUCACUCUAAAGUAACCAAGGAGACUUUCAACAACAUCAUCAACAAGCUAAAUAUGAGAUUGAAUAGUUGGAAAGCAUCUUCCCUCUCUUUGGCCGGAAGAACCACUUUGGUGAGAUCUGUCCUUUCUUCUAUUCCUAGUUAUACUAUGCAAACUACAAUUUUACCUUCAUCUACUUGUAAUUUGAUUGAUCUAAAUGCAGAAAUUUUUUUUAGGGAGACACUGAACAAUAAAAAAAGAUUCAUCUGUUAAGUUGGAAGAAAAUUAGUGAACUUAAAGGUUCAGUGAGUCUUGGUAUUCAGCACGCAAAAAACCUUAAUCAUGCCUUUAUGAUGAAAGUUGGAUGGGGCUGGUGGAAAAAAAAAGACAAUCUUUGGGCUAGAGUGCUGCGCUCAAAAUAUAAGUUUGGGAAUGAUAUCCUCCUCAAUGUCAACAGAAAGAGCAGUGCAUCAAACCUUUGGAAGGGGAUUUGUUCUGCUUGGAGUGAUGUCAAACGGAACACAACAUGACGUAUAGGCAAUGGAUCAGAAAUAAAUUUUUGGGAUUACAACUGGGUUCCAAAAUUAGGCCGGCUCGACCAAUAUGCAACGCAGGUAAUAAAUACUAAUGUGUCAAACGUGUCUCUAAAUGAAUUCCUUUUUGUUUCAGGUGGAUGGGAUGAAGAAAAAUUGAAGGAAUGGCUGCCAGAGGAAGCUGUUGGUCGUAUCUUUGCUAUUACGCCUCCCUCGCCAUGGAAAGGAAGCGACUGUAUAGCUUGGGAGCCCUCCUCAGAUGGCACCUUCAGUUUGAAGACAGCCUACAACUCUUUCAAGGAGGAUCCAUCGCUGCCAGACCAAGUAUUCAAGUUGGCUUGGAAUUGGAGAGGGUCGAAAAGGAUUUGUGCCUUUCUUUGACUAGUUGUCAAUAAUGCUAUUCUCACCAACGCAGAAAGAAGAAGGAGACAUUUAACUACAAACUCAAGUUGCCCAAGAUGCCAUUGGAAUGAAGAGACCAUUAUAUACGUUCUUCCUGACUGUCCUUAUGCUAAUUUGGUUUGGAAAUCUUUAUUUUCUAAUGAUGAUGAUAGAGACUUCUUCAGGAACAAACUAGUGUUUGAGGGAGUAAUAACCCACCCAACCAAAGCUAUGAUGGCCAUUAAAGCCUGUGCGGCUGAGACUCUCAAUGCUACAAGAAGAGAGAUUGUGCCAAGAAGACCGAAUUUCAUUGCUAAUGGCUUGAUUAAAUGGUAUCCUCCUCCUAAAAAUGUCACUAAAAUUAAUGUAGAUGGUUCCUUCUUCUCCUGGAACAACAUUGCAGCCUGUGGUGGAAUUUUCAGGGAUUAUUUGGACAGAUUUAUCAAAGGUUUCUCUUUCAAUUCGGGAAGUUGUUCGAUCACUCAUGCUGAGUUGUGGGGCAUCAUUAAAGGGAUACAAAUUGCAAUCAUCAAUGACCUCCAUGAUGUUAUUAUUGAAACUGAUUCUCAGGUGGCUUUCAAUUUCGUUAAAGAUGGUGUUCAUUCUUUACACCCUUGUGCACCUCUAAUAAAAGACAUAAGAAUUCUUGCCAAUCGCAUCCAGCACAUCAACUGGUCUCACACACUUCGUGAAGCAAACUCUCUGGAUGAUCUCCUAGCAAAAAAAGGACAAGAGCUCCCCUUUAACUUGCAUAUCUAUGAUGUCCCGCCCUUAGAUAUUUGUUAUGCUUUGAGUUUGGAUUGUUUUAGAACUUUUAGACUUAGAGGAUCCUAG
Non-coding RNA from Arachis ipaensis, 4569 nucleotides. The record is from RefSeq and is a predicted model, not a curated record. NCBI's taxonomy places the organism in Eukaryota, Viridiplantae, Streptophyta, Magnoliopsida, Fabales, Fabaceae.